Non-coding RNA from Podarcis lilfordi (Lilford's wall lizard), 73 nucleotides. The record is from the annotation of a GenBank genome assembly. Lineage: Eukaryota; Metazoa; Chordata; Lepidosauria; Squamata; Lacertidae.
GCCUUCGUAGCUCAGUCAGUAGAACAUAAGACUCUUAAUCUCAGGGUUGUGCAUUCAAGCCCCAUGCUGGGCA